Molecule: long non-coding RNA, 2488 nt
Organism: Nothobranchius furzeri (turquoise killifish)
Lineage: Eukaryota; Metazoa; Chordata; Actinopteri; Cyprinodontiformes; Nothobranchiidae
Source: RefSeq, a predicted model, not a curated record
ACGUUAAUUGACGCUUCAAGCGCGUUCUCGACAAGGUUCAAACCCGGAAAAACAUUUGGAAGCUUGCUAGGUGGCGGUAACGCGUCUUUCACUACUAGCCACGUUAAAACCCCAAACAGAAGAGGAUGAACCCUGGAAAUGGAUUCUACAACUAGCAAAUGACCAAGCGCAACUCAAAGCCCACUAAAGUGGCACAAAGAAGAAGGUUUUAUCAGCGGCAUCUCGAGAGUCAAAAAGAAAAUAUGAUAAAAGUCGGUCAGGGACCCGAAUAUCUAUUGGUUACGCUCUGGAAGAAUGGAGGCUGCUUCAACUGUAUUUGGGCCUGAAAAAGGAUGCGGACAUGGCGCAUUUUCUAGUGACCAGCUACCGGAAGAAGCAGGCUCCUGAAACUGCAAUUCAGGGAGGUAAUGUGCAGUCAACCUCGACACCCAGUAAGAGAACAGCAGCUAAAAUGUCGCAUCGAUUAUCUCCAACUGAACCUGUGUCUGAGGGGGAAGAUUUUCUAAUGGCUGGUGUUGAGGCGCUGAUGACCUAGAUUUGGAUCCUUUUGAAAAAAGUUUCAAAUCCAUGGAUCUAGCUACGGAUGCAGUCCAAAUUGAUGAGGACCAAGCAAACAACUUACUCAACAGUGUGCUGGGAUCCUAAAGGGAAUUUCCAUCCUACUUGUGUGGCUGAAGGACAUCUUCAACCAAUUUUGGUACAUUUGCCAGAAAGCACAACAUCGUGAUAUGUUUAAUGACAUGUGGGUGGGUGUGCUUCACCAUGUCACAGGGAAGCAUGAAUGGACCCGUGGCAAAUGUGACCAUGGACCACUUGAUGCAACGACCAGUGAUAAAGAGCUCACGGUACCAUGAUCUCCACCACACGAGGCUCUUCAACGAAUCAUGUUCAACAGACGCUGGUUGAAGGAUGUCACCAAUCUGACCUUUAGGCCCCAGCUACGUGAAGCAUCAAAAGACAGGAAUGACUUCUUUCAUGCACACAGAUUUAUUAGAAAUUAAGAAAAAAUACUAUGUACAAAUGCAAAUAACAGAACUUUUUUGUACAUAAAUAAAAAUAAAUAUAUUGCACAAACUGUUUGUUUAUUUUGGGGUGAAAAUGCUGUCUUCAGCUAAAGUUAUUUUGAGGUAUUGUGCUGUUUUGGAACUACUGUAGUUGUAGAUAAACGGUUUGGAUAUUUGGGUUAGGGUGCCCUCAGUCAGGAAGACGGUGUCCUGGCGUCUCUUGCCGAAACUCCAGGAUAUCCAGCAUCACCCCUGGAAGACGGGUCACCACUCUCUCGAGAAUAUAAUCUCUCUCCUCCUGGCUCAAGUGUUGUAAAGCUGUCUAGAAAUUAAAGAGCAUAUGUUUACAUGACUAGAUUCAUAUCUCCAGUGAGUGAUGUUUUUGUUUUUGGCAUCUAUUAUUUUAUUUUAUUUUUUUACACAAAUGGCUACAACCAACCUGCAUCUCAGCUAUACUGGCAGCUCUCAGCUGUGCAAGCCGGUCUCAGUCCUCUUCUCUGAAAGCUGUUCGCUUCCUACCCCGGCGCCCUGGUCCUCUUGAAGGAGUUCUGGACCUCAACCUGCUGCCCUCACCCCUUGAGCGUGUCCUUCCCCGACCCUCGGAGCGACCUUUUCCUCUCCCCUUUCCUUUAGCCCCUGGUCUCAGACUUUCCCACGACACAUCAAAGUCUGUGGCAGGCUCGGGCACACUCCAUCUGAACUGUCUUCCAUCACUCCUUCCAAUGUGAAUUCCUGAAAAUCAAUGACAGUAAUGGAAAAAUGACUAUUACCCUGUAGGUCUUGUUGAUAUUAUGAUUUUAUUUUGAUGCAUUUUUGAACUAAACAUUGAUAUUUAUGUUCUUAUUUACAUUGUUGUGAUGCCUGUCCUGUAAUGAAAUUGGUUUCACAAAUGAUGUCAGUGACUUGAAACUGGAUGUUCUUACAUGAUGUAUAAACAAUAACAUUAGCUUGUUAGUAAGCUUAGUGCAAAAUAAUAACUGUAAUUGGUCUAAAAACACCAGAAAUCACCUGCAGCCACAAAUUCUUAUGCUGAUAAAGUAGCAUCAUGUUACUGUCUUGCUCGCCAGUCACAAAACUGGCUUAUGAAUAUUUCAUAGGAAGGAGCACUUGCUUUACAUCACGAGUGUCAUGGCUAAAUUAAAAUGCUAAUGUUGUCAUGGAAUUAUACAAAUAUUAGACUAAAGUAACAAUGUUACUUCAUCGCUAGACACGGUGCCUUGUUCGAGCCGCGCUCUGGCCGUACAUCACUGUAACUUUUUUUUUCUAGUGAAGAGUUUGUGCGCGCUCUCGUGCCAGGCUGCAGUUACUCACAGCGCCGAGUGCGCCGCUAAUGAGUUUCGUUUCUUCAUCCUGCCCCAUGCUCCUUUAAAGUUAUGUAGGUCCUCAACCCCUCUAAAUCCAACUAUGGCAUAAUAAUCUAUCCCAGUCCGUGCUGACCUGUCAACUUUCUCCUUGAUCGAAUCCACUUUCUGUGCCAGAGUCUG